AAACGGAGAUAAGUAGCGUGAAUUGCAGACGCUUUGAACGUUAAACUUUCAAACGCAUAUUGCGCCGUAGAAGUCCUACCCUGCGGCACAUCUGGUUGAGAGCUGUGAUCAAAAACAGCAGGACUAUGGCUGUAAUAGAAAUGGAUGGUGAAUCACGUGUUCGGCCUACCGCUUCUGGCUGAACGUGUUCUGCCAUAAUGCUAGCAACGGACAAUCGCACGAGAGAUUGCCUCCACACGGAUGAUCUAUUAGCUGAAGCAAUAGGUCUUGGUUACCGGAUAUCAUGCUUAUAUACACUGUUAUACAGCCAGUGGGCUUCAUACGUGCCUGGUAUCGAGAGUAUUCGCACUCCCAACCUCAACUCAAGUGUGACUUAA
RNAcentral lists this unclassified non-coding RNA (377 nucleotides) under uncultured fungus. RNAcentral's name for it is "sequence contains ITS1". The stretch from base 1 to 105 matches the Rfam family "5.8S ribosomal RNA", at positions 50 to 154 of the family's 154-position model. The record is from RNAcentral. Lineage: Eukaryota; Fungi.